UACGUAGGGAGCAAGCGUUAUCCGGAUUUACUGGGUGUAAAGGGCGUGUAGGCGGGCUUGCAAGUUGGAAGUGAAAUCUCGGGGCUUAACCCCGAAACUGCUUUCAAAACUGCGAGUCUUGAGUGAUGGAGAGGCAGGCGGAAUUCCCAGUGUAGCGGUGAAAUGCGUAGAUAUUGGGAGGAACACCAGUGGCGAAGGCGGCCUGCUGGACAUUAACUGACGCUGAGGCGCGAAAGCGUGGGGAGCAAACAGG
Molecule: ribosomal RNA, 253 nt
Filed under: Butyricicoccus pullicaecorum
Lineage: Bacteria; Bacillati; Bacillota; Clostridia; Eubacteriales; Butyricicoccaceae
Also listed under: 1 other name
Description: partial 16S ribosomal RNA
Rfam family: Bacterial small subunit ribosomal RNA
Source: RNAcentral